Molecule: small nuclear RNA, 107 nt
Organism: Apodemus sylvaticus (European woodmouse)
Lineage: Eukaryota; Metazoa; Chordata; Mammalia; Rodentia; Muridae
Source: RefSeq, a predicted model, not a curated record
GUGCUACCUUCUGCAGCACAUAUACUAGAACUGCAAAGCUACGAGUAAGAUUAGUAUGGCCCCUGAGCAAAGAUGACACGCAAAUUUGUAAAGCGUUCCGUAUUUUU